UAACGUGAUGAAUAACUCCAAUCCUGAUCAAUGAUGUAGUAACUCGCGACUGAAU
This 55-nucleotide small nucleolar RNA is filed under the name Saccharolobus solfataricus P2. Its description in RNAcentral is "Sulfolobus solfataricus P2 Small nucleolar RNA sR9". It matches the Rfam family "Small nucleolar RNA sR9". Lineage: Archaea; Thermoproteati; Thermoproteota; Thermoprotei; Sulfolobales; Sulfolobaceae. The record is from Rfam by way of RNAcentral.